CCUACGGGAGGCAGCAGUGGGGAAUAUUGCACAAUGGGGGAAACCCUGAUGCAGUGACGCCGCGUGAGUGAAGAAGUAAUUCGUUAUGUAAAGCUCUAUCAGCAGGGAAGAAAAUGACGGUACCUGAGUAAGAAGCCCCGGCUAACUACGUGCCAGCAGCCGCGGUAAUACGUAGGGGGCAAGCGUUAUCCGGAUUUACUGGGUGUAAAGGGAGCGUAGACGGCAGUGCAAGUCUGGAGUGAAAGGCGGGGGCUCAACCCCCGGACUGCUCUGGAAACUGUACGGCUGGAGUGCAGGAGAGGUAAGUGGAAUUCCUAGUGUAGCGGUGAAAUGCGGAGAUAUUAGGAGGAACACCAGUGGCGAAGGCGGCUUACUGGACUGUAACUGACGUUGAGGCUCGAAAGCGUGGGGAGCAAACAGGAUUAGAUACCCCUGUAGUC
This 440-nucleotide ribosomal RNA is filed under the name uncultured bacterium. RNAcentral describes it as "partial 16S ribosomal RNA". It matches the Rfam family "Bacterial small subunit ribosomal RNA", at positions 338 to 795 of the family's 1533-position model. The record is from RNAcentral.